AACGCACCUUGCACUCACUGGUAUUCCGGUGAGUACGCCUGUUUCAGUAUCAUUGAAAACCCACAACCAUUCAUUUUUGUUUUGGUUGGACUUGGGCUAUUAGUUUGGAUUCGUUUUUGGCAUUCGUGCUAAGAAAAGAGCCAAGCAGCCUGGAAUAUACUGUUGGUCAAUUGUAUCGUGGUAAUCAAUAUACAAGACCUUGGCUUUAUAAACGAACUGGGAUUUGAUUUGACCAGUUUUAGCCUUUGUCAUUGGGAUUACAGUAAAUCGAUCUUGGCUUAGAGAUUAGUUAGCCGUUUUCGGCUUUCUAGUCAAACUAAAUCAUAUCUUUCAGUAUCGAUCUGAAAUCAGGUGGGACUACCCGCUGAACUUAA
RNAcentral lists this unclassified non-coding RNA (374 nucleotides) under uncultured fungus. RNAcentral's name for it is "partial contains 5.8S ribosomal RNA, internal transcribed spacer 2, and large subunit ribosomal RNA". The record is from RNAcentral. Lineage: Eukaryota; Fungi.